This 767-nucleotide long non-coding RNA is filed under the name Homo sapiens (human). RNAcentral's name for it is "long non-coding RNA NONHSAT117695.2". The record is from RNAcentral. Lineage: Eukaryota; Metazoa; Chordata; Mammalia; Primates; Hominidae.
GUGGAAAAGGAGGGAGCUACUCUCAGGCUGCGUCCAGCGACAGUGCCCAGGGCUCUGAUGUGUCUCUCACAGCUUGAAAAGCCUGAGACAGCUGUCUUGUGAGGGACCGAGAUGCAGGAUUUCUUCACGCCUCCCCUUUGUGACUUCAAGAGCCUCUGGCAUCUCUUUCUGCAAAGGCACCUGAAUGUGUCUGCGUCCCUGUUAGCAUAAUGUGAGGAGGUGGAGAGACAGCCCACCCUUGUGUCCACUGUGACCCCUGUUCCCAUGCUGAUCUGUGUUUCCUCCCCAGUCAUCUUUCUUGUUCCAGAGAGGUGGGGCUGGAUGUCUCCAUCUCUGUCUCAACUUUAUGUGCACUGAGCUGCAACUUCUUACUUCCCUACUGAAAAUAAGAAUCUGAAUAUAAAUUUGUUUUCUCAAAUAUUUGCUAUGAGAGGUUGAUGGAUUAAUUAAAUAAGUCAAUUCCUGGAAUUUGAAAGAGCAAAUAAAGACCUGAGAACCUUCCAGCCCACCCCCGUGUCCACCGUGACCCCUGUCCCCACACUGACCUGUGUUCCCUCCCCGAUCAUCUUUCCUGUUCCAGAGAAGUGGGCUGGAUGUCUCCAUCUCUGUCUCAACUUCAUGGUGCGCUGAGCUGCAACUUCUUACUUCCCUAAUGAAGUUAGGAACCUGAAUAUAAAUUUGUUUUCUCAAAUAUUUGCUAUGAAGGGUUGAUGGAUUAAUUAAAUAAGUCAAUUCCUGGAAGUUGAGAGAGCAAAUAAAGACCUGAG